ACUUUGUGAUAUCUCAAAACCCAGAAAACAACGCUGUAGUCCAAAACCAGCCAUUCAUUGUAAAGUGAAAUAUCUCCCUUUGGAGUGGACCUUGAGAUUUGUAACUUUGUAUAUCUUUUUUAUGCCCAAACAUACACACUACACACUGACUAAAAUUCAAGUGUGUGUGUGUGUGUGUGUGUGUGUGUGUUCCAGGCGGUCCAAGUCUGACAAGACUCAACACAAACUCAGAAAGGCUCCGUCACACACUCUGCUUGGGUCACUGCUGGGCCACAGCAACGACAGCCAGCAAAACGCACCCCGCACUGUCAAACAGACACAUCUGAAAGCUGAGAGGUGGACUGACUAACAGGCCUAUUCCACAGCUCAGUGCUGCAACACACACACACACAGCUAGCUUCUCGACACAAUCCAGUGUAGCUAUAUGUGACGUAUAAACUAAUUAUACAUCCAACAUUGUAACAAACCACACAGUAAAAAUGGAACUCAGUAUAUUUCUGUACAUUAUGUUGUCAUUCCUUCAAUAAAGAUUUUUUUCCCACUCACAAUCAUCAGAUUUUCAUAAAAGCAUGUUUCAUCUUCAGUGUACAUCUCUCAGAGUAUGUCUAUAUCUCACAAGUACAGCUUUAUUUCUUAUUAAAAUUCUUUAAUCUCACAAUUAUGAUUUAUUUUUUUAACUCUGAAGUGGAAAAGGCUUCCAUACUGUAAAACUGUGCUGUUACUUAACGCAAUCAAACUUAAAACGUACAUCUAAUGGACAACAAAACACCCCCAAGAAUCUCAGACUAACACUGCUGGAAUGACUUGUGAAUGAUUGUGAUGUUUUUAUCAGCUGUUUGGACUCUCAUUCUGACGGCACCCAUUCACUGCAGAGGAUCCGUUGGUGAGAAUGUUAUGUAAUGCUACAUUUCUCCAAAUCUUUUCCAAUGAACAAACAAACUAUCUUCAUCUUAUAUGGCCUGAGUGUCAGUACUUCUCACUCUUUUUUUUAACAUAAUUGUUGACUGAUAAUCUUAGUAACUACAUUUUUUUAUUAUGACAGUAACACUUACAUGUAAGCCUAUAUUUGCUUUAAAAAGUUGCAAAACAAGUGGCCAUGAACUCGCAUAAACAAAUGACCAUUUUGCAGACACCUGCUGGUUCACAUGGCUGUCAGUCACUCUCUGACCCCCAGGAGUGUCUGACAGCGGGAGAGGGUGGGAUCGAUGACUUGAGCUGAUACAGAGUAAUUAGCUAAAUCACUGGAAUCAAAAUGACUAUUGAACGAGUGUGCAUCUGUCUGACCACAGAAAGAGCAUGAGAGUUUUAAAACACCUCACACCUAGAGACAGGCUGUCAGAUGUAAUCGGUCAGUUGCUAGUAUUUCUACAGAGGGAGUCAGGGAACUGAGUUAUAAAUUUAAGGCCUCAUUCUGUUGUUGGUC
Molecule: long non-coding RNA, 1423 nt
Organism: Cyprinus carpio carpio
Lineage: Eukaryota; Metazoa; Chordata; Actinopteri; Cypriniformes; Cyprinidae
Source: Ensembl